Manis pentadactyla (Chinese pangolin) is the source of this 1455-nucleotide long non-coding RNA. RefSeq lists it as uncharacterized. The transcript has 3 exons. The record is from RefSeq and is a predicted model, not a curated record. Lineage: Eukaryota; Metazoa; Chordata; Mammalia; Pholidota; Manidae.
CUAUGUUUCAGACACUGUGCUAGAAUAGCUAGAGAGCGAAGGAAUAUCAGGUAUGAACGCUGGCCUCACAGACGCAUAGCAAAUGCACAACAUAACAUCACAGAACCCCAACAAAGGCUCAGAGUUCUUUCUGAUGCAGGCCUCCAGGAAGUCCACUGCUAAUGUAUCACAGAAUUGGCAUAAGAGGAGACAUCCAUUAGUCCCUGGUGGGAAGUCAAAAGUUUCUCUGGUAACAGGUCUCAUUCCGACAAUCAUAAUCAUGGUCAUUUCACAUCUAUCAAGUAGGACCCAUUUCAUAUGUAUCCUGCUGAAGUUUGACUGUUUUAAUUCCACUCUCAGAAACAUGAAUAAACCCAAGUUACCUCCACUGCUGCUUUUGCCCUUUCAAAUUCCUCUUCUAAAGAGUGAUUUCUGGAGAGUAAUGCACUGCCCCAGCGAUGUUCUCUGUUUAAGAAGCAUAUGCAGUUGAUGUCAUUUCUGGAGUACUGCACAAGCAUGAUGUUGUCCAAACUGGGCUGGUGCCAAAAUGCGGGGUUGGAAGUUGAUGGUGAAAUGGAAAGACCUGGCUCUACCAUUGCUUAGCUGAGUGACCUGAUGUAAACUCCCUGAGUUUGUUCCCUCAACUGAAAAAUGCAGUAUUAACAUUUAACAGUCUGUCUUCAAGGUAUGAUACAAAGAUUAAAUUGUCUGAUGUGUAAAUCAAAGGUGUAAAGUGCCAGGCAUAUGAUAGGUGCUCAGUAAAAUUUCCAUUCUUUGGUGGCUAGAGUGUGAUGCUUCUCUUUCCUUUUCCCUUUUGUUGGCCUCCUUCUGUUUCUCCUGUUCCUCUCCAUUUCCGGCAAGAACCAGGUCCAUACACUGACAGGAAGAGGAAACAUCACCAGGAAUAACAUGGACAUUGAGACAAAGAUACUGGUUCUACAGAGGAGCUAUGAAGUAAAUUUAUCAUGAAAUGGCCUGGCAGUAUCAGCUGAUCCCACUCAAUUCUUCCCGAGGAGAUGGGAGCCACUUGCCAAGGCUAAGAUGCUUGGAGAUACGAAUGUUCUAUGGCAGCAAGGACUUGAAAGUGGGGGGGAAGAGGUGGCUUUCAGAGCUAGGCUGCCUGACUUGAUGUCUAAAAUUUAAGCAUGGCAUGCAGCCAAAAUAGGCUAGGAUGACACAUGUCACAUUCUUUGAAGGCUUCAACAGAAAUUUCCAGGCCACGUCACAUUGGAAGAGCUUCCAGGCCCACUGUGAUAACAGAAUGAGGGAAGUGGAUUAACAAUCUCUGGGAUGCCAUGUAUGUCUUUGUACUAAUUAUACCGACAAUUAGGAAUUAGUCACUUGCUCUUACAUUUCUUUUAGAAGCAAAUUAUAUAGGACUUGUCUACUUGCAUAUAGUAAGUACAUUCUUUAUGGAAUGAUUACUGGCGAGUAUUAAUUCUAUAUCUGCUUCUGGCCAUUCAGAAUAAAUGAAUU